Molecule: ribosomal RNA, 496 nt
Filed under: uncultured bacterium
Lineage: Bacteria
Description: partial 16S ribosomal RNA
Rfam family: Bacterial small subunit ribosomal RNA
Source: RNAcentral
GAUGAACGCUGGCGGCGUGCCUAAUACAUGCAAGUCGAGCGAACAGACGAGGAGCUUGCUCCUCUGACGUUAGCGGCGGACGGGUGAGUAACACGUGGAUAACCUACCUAUAAGACUGGGAUAACUUCGGGAAACCGGAGCUAAUACCGGAUAAUAUAUUGAACCGCAUGGUUCAAUAGUGAAAGACGGUUUUGCUGUCACUUAUAGAUGGAUCCGCGCCGCAUUAUCUAGUUGGUAAGGUAACGGCUUACCAAGGCAACGAUGCGUAGCCGACCUGAGAGGGUGAUCGGCCACACUGGAACUGAGACACGGUCCAGACUCCUACGGGAGGCAGCAGUAGGGAAUCUUCCGCAAUGGGCGAAAGCUUGACGGAGCAACGCCGCGUGAGUGAUGAAGGUCUUCGGAUCGUAAAACUCUGUUAUUAGGGAAGAACAAAUGUGUAAGUAACUAUGCACGUCUGGACGGUACCUAAUCAGAAAGCCACGGCUAACUACGU